CUGAAGGAACGUUAAAGACGAUGACGUUGAUAGGCCGGGUGUGUAAGCGCAGCGAUGCGUUGAGCUAACCGGUACUAAUGAACCGUGAGGCUUAACCUU
Molecule: ribosomal RNA, 99 nt
Filed under: Klebsiella pneumoniae
Lineage: Bacteria; Pseudomonadati; Pseudomonadota; Gammaproteobacteria; Enterobacterales; Enterobacteriaceae
Also listed under: 5 other names
Description: partial 23S ribosomal RNA
Rfam family: Bacterial large subunit ribosomal RNA
Source: RNAcentral